GCUGGCAUGGUGGCCCUUGCCUGUAAUCUCAGCAACUUGAGAGGCUGAGGCAGGAGGAUCACAAGUUUGAGGUCAGCCUCAGCAACUCAGCAAGACCCUGCCUCAA
This 106-nucleotide small RNA is filed under the name Marmota monax (woodchuck). The record is from RNAcentral. Lineage: Eukaryota; Metazoa; Chordata; Mammalia; Rodentia; Sciuridae.